CCGUGCUAGGCGGGGAGUUAGCGGUUCCCUCUCGCCGGAAAUCCGCUUCAUGCCGGGCCGAAUCCCCGUCCGAGGGGUGGCGGCUGCUGGGACCGUGCUGAGGUGCUGCGGUGCUGAGGGCUGGGUCCCGCGCGACGGAUCAAUCUGAACCGGGUCAGGGCCGGGAGGCAGCAGCCCUAAGGAUUUUGAGCCGUGCGCCGCGGGGGUGCCUGGCCGGAGCUGGCGGCCUCAUCGCCCCCGGUGGUCCCAUCUCGGAGAUGGGUGCACGG
RNAcentral lists this signal recognition particle RNA (269 nucleotides) under Candidatus Sumerlaeota bacterium. RNAcentral describes it as "signal recognition particle sRNA large type". It matches the Rfam family "Bacterial large signal recognition particle RNA". From Rfam's summary of the family: The signal recognition particle (SRP) is a universally conserved ribonucleoprotein involved in the co-translational targeting of proteins to membranes. Archaeal SRP consists of a 7S RNA and homologues of the eukaryotic SRP19 and SRP54 proteins. Lineage: Bacteria; Candidatus Sumerlaeota. The record is from RNAcentral.